Molecule: ribosomal RNA, 772 nt
Filed under: Malcolmiella interversa
Lineage: Eukaryota; Fungi; Ascomycota; Lecanoromycetes; Lecanorales; Pilocarpaceae
Description: SSU rRNA
Rfam family: Bacterial small subunit ribosomal RNA
Source: RNAcentral
GUAUAGCAAUAGCUAGUUAUAUUAAUUAGUAAUUAAUAUGACGAUCGACUAUGUCGAGUAAAAUUCUAGGUGGAAUAAUGAUGAUGACAUUAUCUACCUUAGUCUUGACCAAAUUUCGUGCCAGCAGUCGCGGUAAUACGUAGAAGACGAGUGUUAUUCAUGUUUAAUUGGUUUAAAGGGUACUUAGACGGUAAAUUAAGCCUAUAGAUGGGUACUAAUUUACUAGAGUUUAUAUGUAAGGGAGUAUUAAAGUACUAGUGAGUGGAGAGAUGAAAUUCUGUUAUACCAAUGAAGGCACAGAUUAAGGCGAAGGCGUCUCCUUAUGUAACAACUGACGUUGAAGGACGAAGGCUAUGUACAGCAAAAGGGAUUAGGUACCCCAGUAACGAUAGGCAGAAAAUGAUGAAUGUCAUAGUUCAGAUGAACUUUAACUUUUACUAAAUUUUUUUUAUUUUAGUUGGGUCAAUUCUGAUACAUAAAUGAAAGUGUAAGCAUUCCACCUCAAGAGUAAUUUGGCAACAUUGGAACUGAAAUCAUUAGACCGUUUCUGAAACCAGUAGUGAAGUAUGUUGUUUAAUUUGAUGAUCCACAAAGAACCUUACCACAACUUGAAUAUUUAUAUAUUAAUACAAGCGUUGCACGGCUGUCUUCAGUUUAUGUCGUGAGAUUUUGGUUAGUUCCAUUAAAUAAACGUAAACCCUUACUUUAUUUAUAAAUAAAGUAGUUCACCAUUAUAUUGGAUGUGAUAAAAGGGAUCAAGACAAGUCAUCAU